This 381-nucleotide ribosomal RNA is filed under the name uncultured archaeon. RNAcentral's name for it is "bacterial SSU rRNA". It matches the Rfam family "Archaeal small subunit ribosomal RNA", at positions 471 to 851 of the family's 1478-position model. The record is from RNAcentral.
UAAUACGAGCAGCCCAAGUGGUGUCCGCGAAUAUUGGGCUUAAAGCGUCCGUAGCCGGCUCGAUAAGUCCUUGGUGAAAGCCCAUCGCCUAACUUUGGGAAGUGCCAGGGAUACUAUUGAACUUGGAGGCGGGAGAGGUCAGAGGUAUUUCUAGAGUAGCGGUAAAAUGCUAUAAUCCUAGAAAGACCACCGGUAGUGAAGGCGUCUGACUGGAACGCGCUCGACGGUGAGGGACGAAGGCUAGGGUAGCGACAGGGAUUAGAUACCCCUUUAGUCCUAGCUGUAAAUUAUGCAGACUUGGUGUCAUGUGACCCACGAGGUUAUGUGGUGCCGAAGGGAAACCAAUAAGUCUGCCGCCUGGGAAGUAUGGUCGCAAGACUG